CAAGCUAUUUGUGGCCGGAAUUGUGGUGACUGCUCAUCCACAAGUUUUGAUUUUUGCUAAUUUGGACAAUCCUUGGGUUUGACGUAAUUUAUUUGUAGAAAUUGAACCCGAGCGAUGCACUUUCUCUCGACCUCUGGAAAUCAGUUGACAUUAUGGUGCCACCAACGCUUCAACGGACUACCGGUGCUCUAUAAUCAUCUUUCCAUUGUGUGUUGACUUUAUUGACUUUUCAAGCAAAAUUUUGAUGGGUUUGGUGGUGCUAGAGGCUUUGCGCGUGGAAUGGGUGGACGUGGUUUCGGAUAUUAAAGAGAUGCUUUCUACAAGAACUGUUGGUGAUCUUCCUCUACAACUUCAUUGCCCUUUAUGCAAAGAUGUGAUGAAAGAUGUUGUUCUCACCAGCAAGUGCUGUUUCACCAGUUUCUAUGAUAAAUAUGAUCUCUUUCCUAAUAAGACAUUAAGGGAUACAAUAAACCUAUUCAACACGCCAAAAUAAAGAUCAAAAAAUGGAAGCCUUGAAAGAAUGCAGUAACAACGACGAGUUGUUAAGAUGCGUCGGCUGGAAGAAGGGCGAAAUUAUGCAUCUGACAAACUAGAUAUUAAUGUAGAAGGUUUUGUAGUAAUUCAUCAGCUACUAAACAGCAACUAUAAAGAAUCGAAUCAUCUGCACCCUAUGUAAUAUUAAAGCUCAGAACCUAAUAACAAAAGUGAGAGAACAAAUUGAUCUGGUGCGUAGGGACAAGGUUUGAAAACCUAAUCCUUAAGUUAAUACUCGAAGAUUAAUGUCUACUUACUAAUGAAUGUUCUAGUCAAGUCUGGAUAGACCAGUCAAGUCUGAGUUAAUGUAUUAAACAAAUGUUCAAGCCAUAAAUGAAGAAUGAGAAUUAAGAUCAAAGUAAAGUUAAUAAAUGAAAAACAAAGAGAAUGUUGUAAAGUGAGUGAAGUAAAUGGAAUAUUGCUAAAAGGUUUGAACAAUCCGUGUAUUGAUUUAACAUUGAAUGAUCCUAUAAAUAGGAGAAUGAAGUACAUGGUACUAAUCGAUUACAUACAUAGGACUGGAUAAAAGAGUUACAUCUGGCACUCUGAAUACCCGCGUUGACAAAAAGACCAAAUCCUAUGACUAGUUAAAUCAAACAAAAGAAAAAUACAUUUACUGCAUAAAGACAAAAUAUUGAUUCCGAAACAUCAAACAUUUCGGACACAAGGUCCAUUCCGGAAUGCCUUCACUGUCAUUGUUCACAUCACCCUCUUAACAUCAGGUCUGGACACUAACAGAUUCCGGAGCAGACUUCAUUUCAGAACUAUAGGUGACUUCGAAAUUGACAAAAGGAUUAGGAUUGCUGGAGGUUCACUUUCAGGUUCCAAAAAUCUCCCUCUAAGUGAACUUAGCGAUCAAGUCAGCUUAGUUCGCUUCUUCUUUGAUGAACAUGUAGGCUCGGAAUAACCAUUCUCAGACUUCGAUG
Lactuca sativa (garden lettuce) is the source of this 1460-nucleotide non-coding RNA. The record is from RefSeq and is a predicted model, not a curated record. Lineage: Eukaryota; Viridiplantae; Streptophyta; Magnoliopsida; Asterales; Asteraceae.